Molecule: ribosomal RNA, 841 nt
Filed under: Kribbella sp.
Lineage: Bacteria; Bacillati; Actinomycetota; Actinomycetes; Propionibacteriales; Kribbellaceae
Description: bacterial SSU rRNA
Rfam family: Bacterial small subunit ribosomal RNA
Source: RNAcentral
CAUGCAAGUCGAGCGGUAAGGCCCCUUCGGGGGUACACGAGCGGCGAACGGGUGAGUAACACGUGAGCAACCUACCCUCAACUCUGGGAUAAGCCCGGGAAACCGGGUCUAAUACCGGAUAUCACCUUGACCUUCAUGGGUUUUGGUUGAAAGUUCUGGCGGUUGGGGAUGGGCUCGCGGCCUAUCAGCUUGUUGGUGGGGUAAUGGCCUACCAAGGCGUCGACGGGUAGCCGGCCUGAGAGGGCGACCGGCCACACUGGGACUGAGACACGGCCCAGACUCCUACGGGAGGCAGCAGUGGGGAAUAUUGCGCAAUGGGCGAAAGCCUGACGCAGCAACGCCGCGUGAGGGAUGACGGCCUUCGGGUUGUAAACCUCUUUCAGCAGGGACGAAGCGAGAGUGACGGUACCUGCAGAAGAAGGACCGGCCAACUACGUGCCAGCAGCCGCGGUAAUACGUAGGGUCCGAGCGUUGUCCGGAAUUAUUGGGCGUAAAGGGCUCGUAGGCGGUUCGUCGCGUCGGGAGUGAAAACUCGGAGCUUAACUCCGAGCCUGCUUCCGAUACGGGCAGACUAGAGGUAGGCAGGGGAGAGCGGAACUCCUGGUGUAGCGGUGGAAUGCGCAGAUAUCAGGAAGAACACCGGUGGCGAAGGCGGCUCUCUGGGCCUUACCUGACGCUGAGGAGCGAAAGCGUGGGUAGCGAACAGGAUUAGAUACCCUGGUAGUCCACGCCGUAAACGUUGGGCGCUAGGUGUGGGGGGACAUUCCACGUCCUCCGUGCCGCAGCUAACGCAUUAAGCGCCCCGCCUGGGGAGUACGGCCGCAAGGCUAAAACUCAAAGG